This 170-nucleotide unclassified non-coding RNA is filed under the name Fusarium keratoplasticum. Its description in RNAcentral is "partial internal transcribed spacer 2". The record is from RNAcentral. Lineage: Eukaryota; Fungi; Ascomycota; Sordariomycetes; Hypocreales; Nectriaceae.
CAACCCUCAGGCCCCCGGGCCUGGCGUUGGGGAUCGGCGAGGCGCCCCCUGCGGGCACACGCCGUCCCCCAAAUACAGUGGCGGUCCCGCCGCAGCUUCCAUUGCGUAGUAGCUAACACCUCGCAACUGGAGAGCGGCGCGGCCAUGCCGUAAAACACCCAACUUCUGAA